RNAcentral lists this ribosomal RNA (405 nucleotides) under uncultured bacterium. Its description in RNAcentral is "bacterial SSU rRNA". It matches the Rfam family "Bacterial small subunit ribosomal RNA", at positions 355 to 776 of the family's 1533-position model. The record is from RNAcentral.
UGGGGAAUCUUGCACAAUGGGGGAAACCCUGAUGCAGCGACGCCGCGUGAGCGAAGAAGUAUUUCGGUAUGUAAAGCUCUAUCAGCAGGGAAUAGAAAAGAAGGUACCUGACUAAGAAGCCCCGGCUAACUACGUGCCAGCAGCCGCGGUAAUACGUAGGGGGCAAGCGUUAUCCGGAUUUACUGGGUGUAAAGGGAGCGUAGACGGCAAGACAAGUCAGAAGUGAAACCCUAUCGCUCAACGAUAGGCAUGCUUUUGAAACUGUGAUGCUAGAGUGCAGGAGAGGUAAGUGGAAUUCCUAGUGUAGCGGUGAAAUGCGUAGAGAUUAGGAGGAACACCAGUGGCGAAGGCGGCUUACUGGACUGUAACUGACGUUGAGGCUCGAAAGCGUGGGGAGCAAACAGG